This 167-nucleotide non-coding RNA is filed under the name Clostridium cellulovorans. RNAcentral's name for it is "T-box sequence". It matches the Rfam family "T-box leader". Rfam says of the family: Uncharged tRNA acts as the effector for transcription antitermination of genes in the T-box leader family. The record is from RNAcentral. Lineage: Bacteria; Bacillati; Bacillota; Clostridia; Eubacteriales; Clostridiaceae.
AGGGUGACAUAGAAAAGGAUGAGUAAAUCUAUCAAAUCGUUUAGAGAAAAAGUGGUUGGUGAAAACUUUUCGAUAAGAGGAUUGAAGCUACCUUAGAGUCGUACAUAUUAAUAAGAGACACUUUGUGUAAUUAGGGUGGUACCACGGAAAUGCUUUUCGUCCCUUUA